AACGAACGCUGGCGGCAUGCCUAACACAUGCAAGUCGAACGAGACCUUCGGGUCUAGUGGCGCACGGGUGCGUAACGCGUGGGAAUCUGCCCCUUGGUUCGGAAUAACUUCGGGAAACUGAAGCUAAUACCGGAUAAUGACGUAAGUCCAAAGAUUUAUCGCCAAGGGAUGAGCCCGCGUAGGAUUAGCUAGUUGGUGGGGUAAAGGCUCACCAAGGCGACGAUCCUUAGCUGGUCUGAGAGGAUGAUCAGCCACACUGGGACUGAGACACGGCCCAGACUCCUACGGGAGGCAGCAGUGGGGAAUAUUGGACAAUGGGCGAAAGCCUGAUCCAGCAAUGCCGCGUGAGUGAUGAAGGCCUUAGGGUUGUAAAGCUCUUUUACCCGGGAAGAUAAUGACUGUACCGGGAGAAUAAGCCCCGGGCUAACUCCGUGCCAGCAGCCGCGGUAAU
Molecule: ribosomal RNA, 451 nt
Filed under: uncultured bacterium
Lineage: Bacteria
Description: bacterial SSU rRNA
Rfam family: Bacterial small subunit ribosomal RNA
Source: RNAcentral